RNAcentral lists this unclassified non-coding RNA (280 nucleotides) under Hevea brasiliensis (rubber tree). Lineage: Eukaryota; Viridiplantae; Streptophyta; Magnoliopsida; Malpighiales; Euphorbiaceae. The record is from RNAcentral.
AAAAAUACAUAAAAAAAUGUUAAUAACCAUAAGUCCAAUUAAACCACCAACCUGUCAUUAUCUGUUGAACAAAGUUACACUUGGCUAUUUGCAUCAGUGUUAUUAAAUCUAGACUGAACCAACUGAUUAGGUCGGUGCAUCAAACCCUUAAUUGGUCUAGAUUUAUAGUUAAAUCAGAUAAAAAAUGACUUGAUUGACUCAGUGAGUCAAAUUGGUGUGAUCCGACGUAACCUGGCUAGUUCAAACAAUCAAUGGGGUCGAAAAUAUUUUAGUGCUAGCG